This 71-nucleotide transfer RNA is filed under the name Erinaceus europaeus (western European hedgehog). It matches the Rfam family "tRNA". From Rfam's summary of the family: Transfer RNA (tRNA) molecules are approximately 80 nucleotides in length. The record is from Rfam by way of RNAcentral. Lineage: Eukaryota; Metazoa; Chordata; Mammalia; Eulipotyphla; Erinaceidae.
GCAUUGGUGGUUUAGUGGUAGAAUUCUCACCUGCCAUGUGGGAGGCCUGGGUUCAGUUCCCAGUCAUUAUU